UCGUAAAAUAUGCGUAGAUACGUUAAA
RNAcentral lists this small RNA (27 nucleotides) under Bombyx mori (domestic silkworm). Its description in RNAcentral is "ovarian small RNA-29071". The record is from RNAcentral. Lineage: Eukaryota; Metazoa; Arthropoda; Insecta; Lepidoptera; Bombycidae.